UGAGUUAUUCUACUAAAAAACAUUAAAAGAUAAUAGUAUAGAACCUGUUCUUUGAUAACUGCACAGUUAAAAACAUGAAACUUCUUAUACACGACUCUUAUGAAACAGUCGGUAUCAAAUUUCCAUAAAAUGUUAUUAUCCUUAGAGAGAGAAGAAGCAAUGUAAAAUAUGAAGUCCUAUUUCCAUACGCAUCUAAGUUCGAAAUUCGGAUCACGGCGUGUGAUAAAUUUUGUUUGAAUACCGGUUAAUUUUUCAAACGCAC
Non-coding RNA from Cinara cedri, 262 nucleotides. The record is from the annotation of a GenBank genome assembly. NCBI's taxonomy places the organism in Eukaryota, Metazoa, Arthropoda, Insecta, Hemiptera, Aphididae.